RNAcentral lists this unclassified non-coding RNA (374 nucleotides) under soil metagenome. RNAcentral describes it as "partial contains 5.8S ribosomal RNA, internal transcribed spacer 2, and large subunit ribosomal RNA". The stretch from base 1 to 120 matches the Rfam family "5.8S ribosomal RNA", at positions 35 to 154 of the family's 154-position model. The record is from RNAcentral.
GAUGAAGAACGUAGCGAAAUGCGAUAAGUAGUGUGAAUUGCAGAAUUCAGUGAAUCAUCGAAUCUUUGAACGCACAUUGCGCCCGCCAGUAUUCUGGCGGGCAUGCCUGUUCGAGCGUCAUUACAACCCUCAAGCCCCCCGGCUUGGUGUUGGGGACCGGCCACCGGUGCCCUGCUGCUUCCGCGGCAGGCGCGCCCGGCCGCCCCCGAAAUGAAUUGGCGGCCCCGUCGCGGCCUCCCUCUGCGUAGUAGCACACAUCUCGCAGCUGGAGCGCGGCGCGGCCACUGCCGUAAAACGCACCAACUUUUUUUUACAGUUGACCUCGAAUCAGGUAGGAAUACCCGCUGAACUUAAGCAUAUCAAUAAGCGGAGGA